RNAcentral lists this ribosomal RNA (853 nucleotides) under Salmonella enterica. Its description in RNAcentral is "bacterial LSU rRNA". It matches the Rfam family "Bacterial large subunit ribosomal RNA", at positions 566 to 1378 of the family's 2925-position model. The record is from RNAcentral. Lineage: Bacteria; Pseudomonadati; Pseudomonadota; Gammaproteobacteria; Enterobacterales; Enterobacteriaceae.
UCGCGGUGGCGGAGCGUCGUUUGCGACGCCCAACACACAAAACAAGCGGUGAGUGCUUUGGGGUGGGGUGACUGCGUACCUUUUGUAUAAUGGGUCAGCGACUUAUAUUCUGUAGCAAGGUUAACCGAAUAGGGGAGCCGUAGGGAAACCGAGUCUUAAUCGGGCGUUAAGUUGCAGGGUAUAGACCCGAAACCCGGUGAUCUAGCCAUGGGCAGGUUGAAGGUUGGGUAACACUAACUGGAGGACCGAACCGACUAAUGUUGAAAAAUUAGCGGAUGACCUGUGGCUGGGGGUGAAAGGCCAAUCAAACCGGGAGAUAGCUGGUUCUCCCCGAAAGCUAUUUAGGUAGCGCCUCGUGAAUUCAUCUCCGGGGGUAGAGCACUGUUUCGGCUAGGGGGUCAUCCCGACUUACCAACCCGAUGCAAACUGCGAAUACCGAAGAAUGUUAUCACGGGAGACACACGGCGGGUGCUAACGUCCGUCGUGAAGAGGGAAACAACCCAGACCGCCAGCUAAGGUCCCAAAGUCAUGGUUAAGUGGGAAACGAUGUGGGAAGGCCCAGACAGCCAGGAUGUUGGCUUAGAAGCAGCCAUCAUUUAAAGAAAGCGUAAUAGCUCACUGGUCGAGUCGGCCUGCGCGGAAGAUGUAACGGGGCUAAACUGUGCACCGAAGCUGCGGCAGCGACGCUUAUGCGUUGUUGGGUAGGGGAGCGUUCUGUAAGCCUGCGAAGGUGUCCUGUGAGGGAUGCUGGAGGUAUCAGAAGUGCGAAUGCUGACAUAAGUAACGAUAAUGCGGGUGAAAAGCCCGCUCGCCGGAAGACCAAGGGUUCCUGUCCAACGUUAAUCGGGGCAGG